This 720-nucleotide ribosomal RNA is filed under the name Matsumurania sapporensis. Its description in RNAcentral is "partial 12S ribosomal RNA". Lineage: Eukaryota; Metazoa; Arthropoda; Insecta; Diptera; Tephritidae. The record is from RNAcentral.
AUGUAAGUUUUUGCAUGAGGAGUUAUUGAUUUAAAUAAUUAAUAAUUUAUUUAAUAUUCUCAGUAAUUGAUUUUAUUUAUUAAGGUAACUUAUAAAUAGCAAUUUUUUUUAGUACUGGCURAAUUUGUGCCAGCAGCUGCGGUUAUACGAAUAGUGCGAAUAAAAGUUUAAUUAGCAGGAGUUAUUUUGUUAUAAAUUGUUAUAUUUAAUAUAARUUUAUUAGGUGAAAUUUUUAAUUUAUUAAAAUUAGAAUAUAUUUUAUUGAAGCUCRGAAAUUUUAAUGUUAAACUAGGAUUAGAUACCCUAUUAUUUAAAGUGUAAUUAUUAUGCUAAGGUAGUAAUAGUUAUGUUCUUUAAACUUAAAAAAUUUGGCGGUAUUUUAGUCUAUUCAGAGGAACCUGUCCUGUAAUCGAUAGUCCACGUUGAACCUUACUUAAUUUUGUUUAGUUUAUAUACCGUCGUUAUAAGAAUAUUUUAUUAGAAUAAUAAUUUUCAAUUAAUUUUAUUAAAUUUUAUAUCAGAUCAAGGUGUAGCUUAUGAUUAAGUAGAGAUGGGUUACAAUAAAAAUAUUUAUAUGAAUUUAUGAAUGUAAUAAUUAAUGAAGGUGGAUUUGAUAGUAAAAUUUUAUAGAUUAUAAGUUUGACUUUGGCUCUAGAAUAUGCACACAUCGCCCGUCGCUUUUACUAUUAAAGUAAAAUAAGUCGUAACAUAGUAGAUGUA